Molecule: ribosomal RNA, 484 nt
Filed under: uncultured bacterium
Lineage: Bacteria
Description: partial 16S ribosomal RNA
Rfam family: Bacterial small subunit ribosomal RNA
Source: RNAcentral
AUUGAACGCUGGCGGCAGGCCUAACACAUGCAAGUCGAGCGAAUGAAGGGAGCUUGCUCCUGGAUUCAGCGGCGGACGGGUGAGUAAUGCCUAGGAAUCUGCCUGGUAGUGGGGGAUAACGUCCGGAAACGGGCGCUAAUACCGCAUACGUCCUGAGGGAGAAAGUGGGGGAGCUUCGGACCUCACGCUAUCAGAUGAGCCUAGGUCGGAUUAGCUAGUUGGUGGGGUAAAGGCCUACCAAGGCGACGAUCCGUAACUGGUCUGAGUGGAUGAUCAGUCACACUGGAACUGAGACACGGUCCAGACUCCUACGGGAGGCAGCAGUGGGGAAUAUUGGACAAUGGGCGAAAGCCUGAUCCAGCCAUGCCGCGUGUGUGAAGAAGGUCUUCGGAUUGUAAAGCACUUUAAGUUGGGAGGAAGGGCAGUAAGUUAAUACCUUGCUGUUUUGACGUUACCAACAGAAUAAGCACCGGCUAACUUCGUG